Molecule: ribosomal RNA, 912 nt
Filed under: Heterosigma akashiwo
Lineage: Eukaryota; Raphidophyceae; Chattonellales; Chattonellaceae
Description: partial Bacterial small subunit ribosomal RNA
Rfam family: Bacterial small subunit ribosomal RNA
Source: RNAcentral
CACUGGGACUGAGACACGGCCCAGACUGCUACGGGAGGCAGCAGUGGGGAAUCUUAGACAAUGGGCGCAAGCCUGAUCUAGCCAUGCCGCGUGAGUGAUGAAGGCCUUAGGGUCGUAAAGCUCUUUCGCCUGUGAAGAUAAUGACUGUAGCAGGUAAAGAAACCCCGGCUAACUCCGUGCCAGCAGCCGCGGUAAUACGGAGGGGGUUAGCGUUGUUCGGAAUUACUGGGCGUAAAGCGCGCGUAGGCGGUUAUUCAAGUCAGAGGUGAAAGCCCGGAGCUCAACUCCGGAACUGCCUUUGAAACUAGAUAGCUAGAAUCUUGGAGAGGCGAGUGGAAUUCCGAGUGUAGAGGUGAAAUUCGUAGAUAUUCGGAGGAACACCAGUGGCGAAGGCGGCUCACUGGCUCGAUACUGACGCUGAGGUGCGAAAGUGUGGGGAGCAAACAGGAUUAGAUACCCUGGUAGUCCACGCCGUAAACGAUGAUAACUAGCUGUCCGGGCUCAUAGAGCUUGGGUGGCGCAGCUAACGCAUUAAGUUAUCCGCCUGGGGAGUACGGUCGCAAGAUUAAAACUCAAAGGAAUUGACGGGGGCCCGCACAAGCGGUGGAGCAUGUGGUUUAAUUCGAUGAUACGCGAGGAACCUUACCAGGGCUUAAAUGUAGAUUGCAUUAGCUAGAGAUAGCUAUUUCUUCGGACUAUCUACAAGGUGCUGCAUGGUUGUCGUCAGCUCGUGCCGUGAGGUGUCAGGUUAAGUCCUAUAACGAGCGCAACCCCUGUUGUUAGUUGCCAGCGAGUCAAGUCGGGAACUCUAACAAGACUGCCAGUGCAAACUGUGAGGAAGGUGGGGAUGACGUCAAAUCAUCACGGCCCUUACGUCCUGGGCUACACACGUGCUACAAUGGUAGGGACAGA